RNA transcript from Equus quagga, 7928 nucleotides. It is a transcript of the gene named HORMA domain containing 2, with no coding region annotated. The record is from RefSeq and is a predicted model, not a curated record. The transcript is spliced from 13 exons. NCBI's taxonomy places the organism in Eukaryota, Metazoa, Chordata, Mammalia, Perissodactyla, Equidae.
CCGAGGGCAACUUUACCCCCCACGGGACAUCUGACAAUGUCUGGAGACAUUUUAGGUUGCACAACUUAGGGGGGAGGGUACUACUGCUGAAGUGGAGAAAACCUGCACUAAAGAAACAAAGUAAGAACAGGCUUCACGUGGCCCACUGCUUCAUCCACUCUCAGGAAAUCCCAUGGCCGGGACUCAAGGGACUCCGCGAACCUUCGAGAAGCUCCACAGGGUACUAAACAGGUUAGAUUUGUUGAAAGAAUCCUGAUACAUUCCGAUAAUGGCCACAGCUCAGCUCUCUCACUCCAUCAGAAUUCACAAGGCAUCUAAGGAAACAGUUUUCCCAUCACAAAUCACUAAUGAGCAUGAAUCAUUGAUAAUGGUGAAGAAACUUUUUGCUACUUCUAUCUCAUGUAUAACAUAUCUAAGGGGCCUGUUUCCGGAGAGCUCUUAUGGAGAACGCCACUUGGAUGACCUCAGUUUAAAAAUCCUCCGAGAAGAUAAAAAAUGUCCUGGGUCACUGCAUAUUAUCAAAUGGAUUCAAGGUUGUUUCGAUGCUCUGGAAAAGAAAUAUCUACACAUGGCAAUACUUACACUUUACACAAAUCCCAAGGAACCUGAGAAAGUGACUGAGAUAUACCAGUUCAAAUUCAAAUACACAAAAGAAGGAGCCACUAUGGAUUUUGACAGCAGUAGUACAAGCUUCGAAAGUGGGACAAGCAGUGAAGAUAUUAAGAAAGCCAGUGUUCUACUGAUCCGUAAAUUGUAUAUACUGAUGCAGAACCUUGGACCCCUUCCUAAUGAUGUUAUACUUACUAUGAAACUCCACUACUAUAAUGCGGUGACCCCACAUGAUUACCAACCCCCUGGUUUUAAAGAAGGGGUAAACUCACACUUCCUGCUGUUCGAGGGAGAGCCCGUAAACCUGCAAGUGGGAUUGGUCUCCACUGGCUUCCAUAGCAUGAAAGUAAAAGUCACAACCGAGGCCACCAGAGUGUCUGAUUUGGAGAACAAUCUCUUUCAGGAGAACAGCACUACCGAAAUUGCCCAUCAGGGUCUAGACUGUGAGGAGGAAGAAGAAGAAUGCAACAAUCAUAAAUAGCUGUGGUCCAGAACCCUGGUCAUAAACUACAGAAAGUCAAGAAAGUAAAUGAAUGAGAAAAUUCUUCAUAAAUUCCAGUAAAACGUGAGACAGUUCCCAACAUAUCAGAGAGCUCACAGCUCCACUGGUGUUGGAGGUAAGAGUUCUCUUUAAGCAUUUGGUUUCUUACUGCUCAUUCAUCACAAUGUCAACAUGAGCUACAUUUAUGCUAAUAGCAUUUAUCUUAUAAUCGCUGUUGAUCUACCUUUCAUUGUGCAGAAAAGGUAAAUGUUAAGGGAGAGGAAUCAAAAUUAAAAUCACAGCUAUAACUCACUUAUAGGGGCACAGACCCUCUGUGAACCAAAAAAUUCCUUGAUCUGGGAACUUCCAAAUCCAAAGAUUCCAUACUUAAUGCUUGAUUAUAAAUCUAUAUUGGUAAGGACUGGUUUUCUAAGGAGAAAACAUUUUGCCAGAUCUCACCUGACAAAUAAUUUUGAAGUCAGCAAAAUUCACUGUACUCUCACCCCAGGCUAGUAAAGUACUUACAAGAUUUCCUGGUUGUCUGGGGCUGCCCCUCCCCUUGGUUCCCCACAAAGUGAGUACUGUGCCCUGAACUGCUUUUUCUAUAUCACACGUAUCUGUCUUCUUUCCAAAGCCUCUGAGGCCCUGCUUUUAGCAGGCUGCCACUUGGACACCAUUUGAUAAGUUAAUUUAUACUAAUUACAUACUGAGUAAUAAUUCUGGGGGAAUUUACAUUUUUAACAGAAGUAUGUUGUAUACAUAACACCUAACCCUAAGAGCCAGUCUAUUAAAGGGACAUUUCUCACUGUCACAUGUACCUUCCAUGUCGUUUCGUGAUUCAGUGUCUUUAAAUGAGCUGAAUCUUCUGCCCAGAAUGACCUCGUCCACCGCCAUCACCCCUACCACCAUCUCCAGUCUGGUGAACUCCUACUCAUUCUACAAGACCCAGCUCAAUGUUCCUCUUCUGCUAAGAAGCCUUCUCUAAAUUCUCCAGGUUGUGGUGGUCACUCCCUCUUGACUUUUAUAAAACUUUGUAUACUUGCUCUCUCAAUUUCUUUUAUUUUUUAUGCACUCUUCAACUGACUUCACCGUGACUUCUGCCUCCACCAGUCCAAUGCACCUAAUAGCCUCCAUGUAGCUAAAUCAAGUGGCCAUGUUUCAGUCUUCAUCUUCCUUGACCUCUCAGCAACACCUGACACUAUUGACUACCACCAUCACUCCUUUUUAUUCUCCCCUCCCUCUUCUUAAAACUUUCUUCCUGUGGCUUUCUUUACAUGACAAUUUGCUGGUCUUUUCUCUCUCUUUCUCAAUCUCCUUUGUUGGCUCAUCUUUCACUUAAUUUCUAAAUGUUGGAGUUGCUUAAGGCUGUGUCCUGGCCCCUUUCCCUUCUCACGCUCUGAUCUCUCAAUAAGCAAACUCUUCCACACCCAUGGCCUUAAUUAACCUCCAUAUGCUGAUGACUCUCAAGUUUAUAUCUCCAAUCAGACCUCUCUCCUGAGCUCCAGACUUCCAUAUACAGCUACCUAUUCAAUAUGUCCACUUGGGGUUUCACAGGUACUCAGCAGGUUCAAAAUUCCAAUUGUUCUCUACCUGAGAGAAUAGAACCUUCAUCCAUGAAGUUAGCUAAACCAGAAACUGGGAGUUAUUAUUGACCUAUCUACCUCUCCUUUAUCAUCAUAUCCAAUUGCCCAUCCUUCUGACUCUACCUUCUAAAUAUUUUUCUCACUGUUAACUUUUUUCCGUCUACACUGCCACUCAAGUUAUCACCUGACUACUACAAUAGCGUGACUCAUCACCCUGCAUCCACUUGAUGCCUCCAAUACAUUUCUACACUGCAGGCAGAGUGCUCUUUGAAGAGUCCUUCAUUUGUUCAUCAAAAAAACAUUUAUUGAGCCCCUACUAUGUGCAAGUUGUGACCAAGACAGGCAUGUUCCUGAUCUCCUGGAACUCUAUUAAGAGCAUGUGAUUGGGGGACCUAAUUUAAUUGGAACAGAAGUAGGGUAACUUUCUUUGAGGAAAUAAUUUUUCAUCUAAGAUCUGAAGAAUGAAUAGGAUUAACUAGGCCAAGAGAGGGCUGGUGGAGGGGAAAGAGCAUUUUAGGCAGAAGGAACAUAAUAUGCAGAGAUCCGGAAUCAGGAAGAAGCAAGGUAUGAGAAAACUGAGAGGGCAGAGAGUGAGAGUAGAGCACAGGAGAUGAGGCUGGUACUGCUGGGCACAGACAGGCCCUGUGGGGUAGUGACUCUAUUGGGAAGAACUCAGGAGGCCUAGGAGCCUCCUCAAAUGGCCUGCUACAGUGGGUGAGUAUGUGAGUGGAGAUAUGAGCAUUUUUCUGAGGAGAGAGUGCAUGGCUUUCAUCAGGGUCUUAUAGCCAAUCUGUGAGCCCUCUCCUUCCCUAGAAAUGUAAAGAACCCCUGACAGUGCAUGAAAAGCCAAGGUAAGGACUUUGGACUUUUUCCUAAAAGCAGUAAGAUGCCAUUGGAUAUUAUUAAGCCAAAAAGUAACAUGGCCAGAUUGUAAAAUCUAUAGGGCAGGCUUCUUAUCUCUUUUGUUCAUUAAUGUGUCCCAAGCACCUAGAAAAGUAUCAUGCAUAGAGCUGACACUCGAUAAAUAAUUGCUGAAUGAAUGAAAGUCUAUUGUGGCUAUUGAAUGGAUGUCAAUUAUGUUGUAUUACAUUAUAUUGUAAUUGUGUGCUUAAUGCCUUUCCUUACAAGACUCAAUCCUUGAAAACGACUGUGUCUUAUUCAUCUUUAUAUUACUAGAGAUAUGGUACUAGUACCCAGAGCAGUGCCUGGCUUAAAAUCAGUAUCAAAAUGGAUUCAUUCAUUCAGCCAAUAAUUUAAGAGGCACCUACCAGAUGCCAGGAACUGGGAAUGCAAAGAUGACUAAGAUAUUGUCACUAACCUCAAGGAGUUUGUACUCUAGAUGAGAAGACUGGUAAGUAGGCCUGAUAACACCAUGUAGUAAAUGCCACAAAAGAUGUAAGAACAGAACACAGCCCUAGGGGUGUCAGAGAAGGCCAGUAGGCAGAGGAAACCCCAGGGUGGACCCUGGGCCUGGAGAUGAAGGGAGGAGCAGAGCAUGGGAGUGGGCAUUAAAGGCAAAGUCCAGAGGGGAGCAAGCAGGGCCCAUUUGGAGAAUGCAAUUGGUUAAGUAAGUCUGAGGCAAGAUGAAGCUGCAGAGAUGGGCCACGGCCAUAAAGAACCUGGCCUUUAUCCUGAAGACAAUGGGAAGUCAUUAAUGGAUAGUUGAUGAAUCAGAAGAGUGAUGUGGUCAGAUUUACAUAGAAGACUACUUAGGCUCCAGAGUGGAGAAAAGGUUGGAAAAGCAGUAAUAGUGGAAGUUCAAGGCCCAAUAAUUGGGAAAGAUGAUGUUGGCCUGGGCUAAAGUAGAGACAAUGGCAUUAGAGAAAAAUGGAUAGAUUUGAGAGAUAUUAAGGAGGUAUGGAUCAACAGAAAUUAGUGAUUAGUUAGAUGUUAGGGUGAGAAUGAUGGAGUAGCCAUGGAUGACUCCCAGGUUUUUAACUUGGACACCUCCAGGGUAAUGACAAGAAUGAGAACAAAGAUUGGGAGUAGCCUGACAGAGGCAGAUGAUAAAUUCCAAUUCUCGACACACUGCUUUUGAGUUUUCUUUGGAAUAACCAUGUGGAGACUUUUAGUAGGCAGUUGAUUACACACAUGGAUCUGGAGUUCAAAAGGAAAAUCUAGGCUGAAUAUAUCAAUGUGGGGGGUCUUUGCUUAUAAAUGGUAACUGAUUCCUAGGAGUGGAUGAGAUCACUCAGAGAGAGUGUGGAGAAUAAGGAGAAAAGAUGGUCAAAGACAGAACUCUUGGAGAACAUUCAAGAUGUUUUUUUAAAUGGAUGAAUAGAGGAAUUAAUGAUAAAAGGACUCAUUUAGAAGAAGGGACCCCUUCCAGUGCUGUUCAAAUACUGCUACCAAGUCAGCCAGCAAUCCUAUCUGUGCUUAAGGCAAAACCUUCUCUUUGGCUUCUCAAAUGGAGAAUUUGUUACCAAACCAAAAAUAGAAAGGAGGGAAAUAUCAUCCAGCAGAAAGCAUAUAUUCAGGGCUUUUAUCAGACAUAUAUGGAGAUACUCUAUUCCUGAGGCUCUAGUAGUAAGUGAAUCAUAGUAGCCUCUUAUUAGUCUAUAUUCAAGAAACAUUUUAAAAGCUAUCAGUUUAAAAUAUAAUAUAAGAAGCAUUAGAAAUCAUUUGAUGAUCAUUUGAUGUUACUCAAAUCAUAGAUUUUUCUAGCCUGCCUGAUUGCUGGUCCUUUGCUUGCCUAGUUGGCUUUGGCAUCAAAUAUGCAAACUCAGCCAGUUGGAAUACACCUGAAUAGUGUUUCUCAAAUGUUCCUUUGUAUGGUUUAUAUAGUUUAUAUAGAUUAUUCAUCUAUGUCAGGAAGUGUCCCCUGACUGAUCACAUGCUUGCUUUUGAACCCACUAGUUUUCUAUAAACCAUCAAGAGUUCCCAGGCCUCGCUGGUUUCCUUGAGAUUGUAUACAUUAUUAAACAUGUUUUGAUUAACUUACUGCAAUAAAAUUACAGUAAGUUCUGAAACUCGUAAUAAGACUCUGGUUUACUUGAGCAAAGAAGAAAAAGACAACAAAACUAUUAAACCAUCAGGCCAACUUCUCAUUUGAGGAUUUGUACAUCCAUCUUCUCUUCUUCCCAGUGUACCCAGACUUGAUAGAAGUGAGGAUAAUUUUGUUUGAAUGGAAAGCAUGCCCAAGCAACAUUUCUAGAAAAGCUGGAUUUUACCAAGUGCUUUUUCUUACAGCCAUACUGUAACACAUUCAUUUCCUAGAUAAAGAAGUUGGUUUUUGUGCUUUGGGUUUUUAUAUUGCUAUUUCCUUAGCUUUAGAGCAGAUCGCUUCAAACUUUUACAUACCUAAGUACACCAGUUAUUUGAUGAGCAGCUCCACUUAUUUUCUCAGAGUUUUACUGUUCUAUAUAGUCCGUGUCUUAGUUUAAGCCAAAAGGAAUUUACGGUUUCUGAGAUCAGAAAUUCAACUGCUUUCUAAAACUAAAAGAAAAAUUAGUGAUUACAUUAGCCAUUUGCAGAUCCAAUUUUUGGUUCUAAAUGGUGUUUAAGUGCUUUAUUGACAUUCCCACUAUUUUGAAAUAAUAACAUAUCAAUAAUAAUAAUCUGUAUCUAUAGCAAAAGGAAAAAGGGUAAUGUUGGAACCUCUACUAAAUGUUCUAAGUCUUGCUUAAAAAUAUAUAUCUCAGUCCAUUUUCCUACCAAAGAAAGAACAGAGGACAUAGAAAAACCUUUCCUCCCAUCUAGUGGCUGGAAAAUAUAAAAAUGUCCUCUGUGUUUCUUGGAAUUCCAAGCAUUAGGGAUUGUCUUACAGAUUAUAAUACAUCUAGUUGUUCACUCAGUUAAGCAAAAAUAAGUUCUAAAAUCGUUGCCAAAGCUGAGCCUAAUGGAGAAAUGUAUAUAUAUGAUGAUUCACUAAUCAACUUCCCUUUAAUCAAUAACAUAUACUUUUCUUCAGGCAGAAAGAAUGUCGAUGGUCCUUCCUAAUUCAUAAAUGUGAACCUAUGAUAGAAAAGAUAAGGCUGUAUGUUUCUGCUAAUUGAAAUUGGGACUUAAAUUCUAUUUGCCUCUAAAGCAAUUAGUGCCUAGAUCUCUUCUGACCCUUAAUUGUUCCUUGUUGGCCCCACGCCUUGACAACUCUUCCCUCAAGAGUUGAAUGUGCUGAAUUCACUAAAGAGAGCCAGGAAGCUGUCCCUGAAACUGGCUGCCUCCAGGGGACAUCAGCUCCUGAAACUUGGAAUACCGGCCUCUGAUACUGGCAGGAGGGCCUCUGUGCAGGGCCAAACCGCCCACAGGAAAGCAGAUUCAAAGAAUGAAUUUUAUGUGCAGUCAGCAAAGUUCUGAGAGCUCCAGGAAGAAGAGGAAGGUCAGCGAACCAGUGAAAGUCUUCAUCCCUGACAGAAAGUGAAAGUUAGAUGCCUCUGUUACAUUUAUUCUAAAAUGAUUUUAUUUUGCAACAAACAUGCAUGAAGUGGCUUAGUAGGAAAGUAAGUUUCUAUCACCAAAACCUUUUACUAAAUUUGUUGCUCAACUUUUUUAGUCAAUUUACUAAGUGCUGAAUUACCAGGUAGGACAUGGGGUCACUUUGCCACAGGGAAAAGAGGUGCCAGGGCUGCCUUGGGAUAGCAUUACUUCAAGGCUGAAUUAGAGAUGAGACACUCUUUAUAUUUGUAAAAGAACCACAGUAACUAUUUUGAGAAGAAAUAAGCUGUUGUUCUCAAAGGAGAGAAGGGUUCUCUUUGCAUAAUUAAACUCCCCAGGUAUUUAGACUACUGUGAAAUGUUUUAACUUGUUGUAACCUGUGUACUGGAAUCCCUCUAUAGCUUUAUUAGAAUUGUCAGAGAAUUACAUAGGAUGUUUGUGGUGGUGCUUAUCUAAGUGUGAUUUUUGUGUUAACUUCAAUCACGAAGUUGAUCAGCUAAGUGUUAAGCCAAAAUGUACUCUCCCUGUAAAGUUCCUCAAAUCUGGCCCUUGGUCCUGUUCUGUUGGCAAACCUGAGACUGGGAAAUAGGCUGCAGUGCGGGGGGCCUGGCUCCCAUCUUAAGACCAAUGUUGAAUGCUUCCCACCAAGCAUUUCAGUUUAUCAGUCUAUAACCUGAAAAUGAUGUUACUAGUCCCCUCCUUAUUCUGGAAGAGUUUUUAUAGACAUUGAUUAGUAUCAGAUGAAUAGUAAAUGACUUAAAAGUGUUAUUUUUGUCAUUUAUAUAACAUGGAAUUUAAUAAUUUAAUUUAAAUGGAUAGGACCAAUAUGUUAAAUGUUAAGUGUGUGUGCUUUCUGGUUAAAUAAACCAAAAUGCAAGGUA